UGCCAACAACUCUCCUCCCAAAUGGUGUC
This 29-nucleotide non-coding RNA is filed under the name Mus musculus (house mouse). The record is from RNAcentral. Lineage: Eukaryota; Metazoa; Chordata; Mammalia; Rodentia; Muridae.